GGCGAUCAGAUACCGCCCUAGUUCUGACCGUAAACGAUGCCAACUAGCGAUCCGCCAGUCGACUCAUCGCUCUGGUGGGGAGCUUCCCGGAAACGAAAGUCUUCCGGUUCCGGGGGAAGUAUGGUUGCAAAGCUGAAACUUAAAGGAAUUGACGGAAGGGCACCACCAGGAGUGGAGCCUGCGGCUUAAUUUGACUCAGCACGGGGAAACUCACCCGGCCCGGACACCGUAAGGAUUGACAGAUUGAUAGCUUUUUCAUGAUUCGGUGGAUGGUGGUGCAUGGCCGUUCUUAGUUCGUGGAGCGAUUUGUCUGGUUUAUUCCGAUAACGAGCGAGACUCUGGCCUACUAAAUAGUUGGCGCAUUGCCACUGUGCGCACAACUUCUUAGAGGGAUUUUCGGUGUUUUCAACCGCACGAAAUUGAGCAAUAACAGGUCUGUGAUGCCCUUAGAUGUCCGGGGCUGCACGCGCGCUACACUGGCAAACGCAACGUGCCUGUCCUGCCCCGAAAGGAGCGGGUAAACCCCUGAAAUUUUGCCGUGAUUGGGAUCGGACAUUGCAACUAUUGUCCGUGAACGAGGAAUUCCUUGUAGGGGCGAGUCAUCAACUCGUCCCGAAUACGUCCCUGCCCUUUGUA
Molecule: ribosomal RNA, 636 nt
Filed under: Rotylenchulus reniformis
Lineage: Eukaryota; Metazoa; Nematoda; Chromadorea; Rhabditida; Hoplolaimidae
Description: SSU rRNA
Rfam family: Eukaryotic small subunit ribosomal RNA
Source: RNAcentral